CCUACGGGAGGCAGCAGUGGGGAAUAUUGCACAAUGGGGGAAACCCUGAUGCAGCGACGCCGCGUGAAGGAAGAAGUAUUUCGGUAUGUAAACUUCUAUCAGCAGGGAAGAAAAUGACGGUACCUGACUAAUAAGCACCGGCUAACUACGUGCCAGCAGCCGCGGUAAUACGUAGGGAGCAAGCGUUAUCCGGAUUUACUGGGUGUAAAGGGAGCGUAGGCGGCGAUGCAAGUCAGAUGUGAAAGCCCGGGGCUCAACUCCGGGACUGCUUUUGAAACUGUGUGGCUAGAGUGCAGGAGAGGUAAGUGGAAUUCCUAGUGUAGCGGUGAAAUGCGUAGAUAUUAGGAGGAACACCAGUGGCGAAGGCGGCUUACUGGACUGUAAAUGACGCUGAGGCUCGAAAGCGUGGGGAGCAAACAGGAUUAGAUACCCGAGUAGUC
This 440-nucleotide ribosomal RNA is filed under the name uncultured bacterium. RNAcentral describes it as "partial 16S ribosomal RNA". It matches the Rfam family "Bacterial small subunit ribosomal RNA", at positions 338 to 795 of the family's 1533-position model. The record is from RNAcentral.